GCCUCAGUGGGGUAGUGGUAGAGCACGCGUCCCCGCAUAGGAUGAAACGUGGGUUCGAUUCCCGCCUGAGGUC
Parelaphostrongylus tenuis is the source of this 73-nucleotide non-coding RNA. The record is from the annotation of a GenBank genome assembly. NCBI's taxonomy places the organism in Eukaryota, Metazoa, Nematoda, Chromadorea, Rhabditida, Metastrongylidae.